RNAcentral lists this ribosomal RNA (723 nucleotides) under Escherichia coli. RNAcentral's name for it is "bacterial SSU rRNA". It matches the Rfam family "Bacterial small subunit ribosomal RNA", at positions 19 to 731 of the family's 1533-position model. The record is from RNAcentral. Lineage: Bacteria; Pseudomonadati; Pseudomonadota; Gammaproteobacteria; Enterobacterales; Enterobacteriaceae.
CUGGCUCAGAUUGAACGCUGGCGGCAGGCCUAACACAUGCAAGUCGAACGGUAACAGGAAGCAGCUUGCUGCUUCGCUGACGAGUGGCGGACGGGUGAGUAAUGUCUGGGAAACUGCCUGAUGGAGGGGGAUAACUACUGGAAACGGUAGCUAAUACCGCAUAACGUCGCAAGACCAAAGAGGGGGACCUUCGGGCCUCUUGCCAUCGGAUGUGCCCAGAUGGGAUUAGCUUGUUGGUGGGGUAACGGCUCACCAAGGCGACGAUCCCUAGCUGGUCUGAGAGGAUGACCAGCCACACUGGAACUGAGACACGGUCCAGACUCCUACGGGAGGCAGCAGUGGGGAAUAUUGCACAAUGGGCGCAAGCCUGAUGCAGCCAUGCCGCGUGUAUGAAGAAGGCCUUCGGGUUGUAAAGUACUUUCAGCGGGGAGGAAGGGAGUAAAGUUAAUACCUUUGCUCAUUGACGUUACCCGCAGAAGAAGCACCGGCUAACUCCGUGCCAGCAGCCGCGGUAAUACGGAGGGUGCAAGCGUUAAUCGGAAUUACUGGGCGUAAAGCGCACGCAGGCGGUUUGUUAAGUCAGAUGUGAAAUCCCCGGGCUCAACCUGGGAACUGCAUCUGAUACUGGCAAGCUUGAGUCUCGUAGAGGGGGGUAGAAUUCCAGGUGUAGCGGUGAAAUGCGUAGAGAUCUGGAGGAAUACCGGUGGCGAAGGCGGCCCCCUG